Molecule: long non-coding RNA, 329 nt
Filed under: Sinocyclocheilus anshuiensis
Lineage: Eukaryota; Metazoa; Chordata; Actinopteri; Cypriniformes; Cyprinidae
Description: lncRNA (ENSSANG00000041594.1)
Source: RNAcentral
UUGACCUGUGCUCUUUGUGCUUCUCUAGUGCCCACCGGAUGCUCCCAAGAGUCGACGAGCCGCAGAGAACCAGGUGGAGUUUGUGCCCAAUCCCUUCGCUCAGGCGAUUCUCGGAUCCAAGGAACUUGCAGAAAAAGUUAUUCAGGAGGGCCAUGCGGGUCAGUCAGGCCUUAAAGGAGAGAAGGGAGACCGGGGUUUGGACUGUACUGGUGCUGGAGUUCCUGGACGAUGCUUAGAAGGUGCUAAAGGGGAGAAAGGAGCGAAGGGAGAGUCGGUAAGUGUGUGCGCCACCCUUGUCUUAGAGAGAGGUUUGCGAUCGAAUUUUUGUU